This 518-nucleotide ribosomal RNA is filed under the name uncultured bacterium. RNAcentral describes it as "bacterial SSU rRNA". It matches the Rfam family "Bacterial small subunit ribosomal RNA", at positions 993 to 1509 of the family's 1533-position model. The record is from RNAcentral.
GAACUUAGCAGAGAUGCUUUGGUGCCUUCGGGAACUCUGAGACAGGUGCUGCAUGGCUGUCGUCAGCUCGUGUUGUGAAAUGUUGGGUUAAGUCCCGCAACGAGCGCAACCCUUAUCCUUUGUUGCCAGCGGCUCGGCCGGGAACUCAAAGGAGACUGCCGGUGAUAAACCGGAGGAAGGUGGGGAUGACGUCAAGUCAUCAUGGCCCUUACGGCCCAGGGCUACACACGUGCUACAAUGGCGCAUACAAAGAGAAGCGACCUCGCGAGAGCAAGCGGACCUACAUAAAGUGCGUCGUAGUCCGGAUUGGAGUCUGCAACUCGACUCCAUGAAGUCGGAAUCGCUAGUAAUCGUAGAUCAGAAUGCUACGGUGAAUACGUUCCCGGGCCUUGUACACACCGCCCGUCACACCAUGGGAGUGGGUUGCAAAAGAAGUAGGUAGCUUAACCUUCGGGAGGGCGCUUACCACUUUGUGAUUCAUGACUGGGGUGAAGUCGUAACAAGGUAGGCGUAGCGAG